AGUGAACGCUGGCGGUAGGCCUAACACAUGCAAGUCGAACGGCAGCACAGUAAGAGCUUGCUCUUACGGGUGGCGAGUGGCGGACGGGUGAGGAAUAUAUCGGAAUCUACUUUUUCGUGGGGGAUAACGUAGGGAAACUUACGCUAAUACCGCAUACGACCUACGGGUGAAAGCAGGGGAUCUUCGGACCUUGCGGGAUUGAAUGAGCCGAUGUCGGAUUAGCUAGUUGGCGGGGUAAAGGCCCACCAAGGCGACGAUCCGUAGCUGGUCUGAGAGGAUGAUCGGCCACACUGGAACUGAGACACGCUCCAGACUCCUACGGGAGGCAGCAGUGGGGAAUAUUGGACAAUGGGCGCAAGCCUGAUCCAGCCAUACCGCGUGGGUGAAGAAGGCCUUCGGGUUGUAAAGCCCUUUUGUUGGGAAAGAAAAGCAGCAGGUUAAUACCCCGCUGUUCUGACGGUACCCAAAGAAUAAGCACCGGCUAACUUCGUG
This 492-nucleotide ribosomal RNA is filed under the name uncultured bacterium. RNAcentral describes it as "partial 16S ribosomal RNA". It matches the Rfam family "Bacterial small subunit ribosomal RNA", at positions 29 to 507 of the family's 1533-position model. The record is from RNAcentral.